GUUUAUGGAUGACGAGAAAUCAAUAAUAAUACAGUUAUCCCUGGCUGAUUAUCUGUGCUGACAUUUCUUUUUAAUCUGACAUAAAC
Molecule: small nucleolar RNA, 86 nt
Rfam family: Small nucleolar RNA R38
About the family: snoR38 is a C/D box small nucleolar RNA conserved across yeast, human, Arabidopsis and rice. It is encoded in the intron of elongation factor-1 gamma in both pombe and cerevisiae. snoR38 guides the methylation of 2'-O-ribose sites in 28S rRNA.
Source: Rfam